This 117-nucleotide ribosomal RNA is filed under the name Clostridia bacterium. The record is from RNAcentral. Lineage: Bacteria; Bacillati; Bacillota; Clostridia.
UCUGGUGACAAUAACUACGAGGAAACACCUGUACCCAUACCGAACACAGAAGUUAAGCUCGUACAUGCCGACAAUACUUGUGGGUUACCCUGCUGGUAAGAUAGGAAGUUGCCAGGC